This 451-nucleotide ribosomal RNA is filed under the name uncultured Acidovorax sp. Its description in RNAcentral is "bacterial SSU rRNA". It matches the Rfam family "Bacterial small subunit ribosomal RNA", at positions 925 to 1382 of the family's 1533-position model. The record is from RNAcentral. Lineage: Bacteria; Pseudomonadati; Pseudomonadota; Betaproteobacteria; Burkholderiales; Comamonadaceae.
ACAAGCGGUGGAUGAUGUGGUUUAAUUCGAUGCAACGCGAAAACCUUACCCACCUUUGACAUGUACGGAAUCCUUUAGAGAUAGAGGAGUGCUCGAAAGAGAGCCGUAACACAGGUGCUGCAUGGCUGUCGUCAGCUCGUGUCGUGAGAUGUUGGGUUAAGUCCCGCAACGAGCGCAACCCUUGCCAUUAGUUGGCUACGAAAGGGCACUCUAAUGGGACUGCCGGUGACAAACCGGAGGAAGGUGGGGAUGACGUCAAGUCCUCAUGGCCCUUAUAGGUGGGCUACACACGUCAUACAAUGGCCGGUACAGAGGGUAGCCAACCCGCGAGGGGAGCCAAUCCCACAAAGCCGGUCGUAGUCCGGAUCGCAGUCUGCAACUCGACUGCGUGAAGUCGGAAUCGCUAGUAAUCGCGGAUCAGCAUGUCGCGGUGAAUACGUUCCCGGGUCUU